Molecule: long non-coding RNA, 5969 nt
Organism: Vespa velutina
Lineage: Eukaryota; Metazoa; Arthropoda; Insecta; Hymenoptera; Vespidae
Exons: 3
Source: RefSeq, a predicted model, not a curated record
UUUAAUGUUGUUUAUGACUUUUCGCCCAAAGUAUGUGUGACUUCUUCAAUAAUAGUUAUGAAUAAAAUAUGAACUACAAAACAAGCGGAAAAUGUUGUCCCUAUCAUGCGUUUAUCGUAUCGGGUAUAAGUUUGUUUGCUUAUUUCCCUCUCAUGCAUACGUAAUAAUUGUUUCGUGUAAAUUAGACUGAGUUGUAUUAGUAGACUGUAAGCGCACAUUUUUUAAUCUCUCAUAUGUAUAUCUUUCUUUGAUGGCAGCAUGCGUCUUGCAGUGAUACGUGCUAGAUACGACGUUGUAAAGACAAUUAGCUUCGACUGAUCAUGAAUAAGAAACAAUGUGGAAACAAAUGCAUUAUGAUCAUAAGACAAUAAGACAAAGAGAAACAAUAGCGGAUGAAAACAAAAGAAACGUUUUCUACUAUUCUUUAUAUGUUUAGGUGAGCAGUCACCACGUGCGUCCACUACGUAAAACGAUACAUUAUCCUUCGUGUCUAGCAUUUCAAGAUUAGAAAAUAUUUACAUUACUUUCAUGCCUCAGACUACAAAUUCAGAUGUUCAAAAACAAUUGAUUACCGCUUUGUUUCCGGCACUUGUGGCGCCUCCUCGCAGUUAAUAUUUAUUCAUUAUUUUUGUGUUAUACAAACCACAUGUUAGUACAUGUUUUUUAAUCCUUUUUCGAAUUACGAAUACGAUGGGUGAUAAAAAGAAGAAGUCUAGGAACCGGGAUCGCUCUGGGGAGAGGAGUAUUUUCAAGAGAUUAUGUAUAUUCGAGGAAAUGAUGGGAGAAAUGCUGACUAGCAUUACAUCCAUUCAGCAGACCAUGCUGACGAAGGAGUUGCCGGGUUUUUCUCUUGGUCCAAGAGACCGAUUUAUAUCAUUGAAUUAAUAUACCCGAGAGUUUAAUUCUUUGAUAACGCUUUAUUCAGGUGGAUAAAAAUGGAAUCUGUUGUAUCCGGGAGGUAAAAUAGAUUCUCACAUGGUAAUCUGACUUUAUCUGGAAGAUAAAGAGAUGAUGUUUGCUUUAAUUAUCCGAAAGGUAAUUGUAAGCAAACAAACAAACAAACCAUGAAAAAUAAAAAAUACUAUUUAAAUAAACAGUCACAAUUUACGUUGUGUCGUGGGCUAGCCUUGAAAUUAUCAUUUGAAGAAGGGGACCCUGUAGACCUGGUCUCAGAAGAAUCUUUGGAGGAUACACUAAGUUUGAGAGCCACAAGGGUCCCAGGAACAACUGGUGUACUGAAAGAUGUGACUAACAGCCAACAUAAGAUCUUGUUUGGGGUUAUUGACACGGAAGCCACAAUCGAUAGUUCUGAGGCUCAGAUUAAUGAAGAAAUACGCUGGUGCUAGUCUAAACAGCGAGGACAAGGAUUCUCUGUUAAAGAAAUACUCUAACUUAAAAUGAUUACACACCAAUUAUCCUAUAAAACUUUUAUAUUUUAACAUUUUACGUAUCUUUACAUCUUUACGAAGAUAAUUUUUUAAACAUUAGUCUUUGUAAUUUUGCUUUGUAUGAUAUAUCAUAUAACUAUUGCCGAGAUGGGUGCCCGGCUUUUCGGGACAAGUAUCACAAUAGUAUGUUGUUUGAUGUCUUUUGUCGGACAGACUUUACAAUCCUUCUUAACUUUUGUUAGAAUGUUAUGCAGCUUUCCAUUUAGGCGGAUCUUUUCGGAAUCGGAGAUUGAAGUUGAAUUUCGAUCACGUGUUUGGUGAAAAUCUCCAGUCAGUUGGUGAACUAAGGUUUUCACAUACCGCAAGUAAUUAAGCGGCUGUUCUCUGAUGUUCAGUGGUUUUAUAAAGAAUAUAUGAAUUUAUUAGACAAAUUUCCAGACCCCAAAAAAACAGUUUAGGCCACCAUUUCAAGGAUUUUCUUAAGAAACAGUACGUUGAGGCAUACUGAUCUGCACGAUCGACACCGCUUACAUGUUUUAUAUAAUUUAUUGCAACAUUAGGCUUUUUAACGGUAAUUUCAAUACCAUACUCGUAAAAUUCUUUUUACAGUGCUCAUUCCUGCAUUAUUCCAAUUGGUUAAGCACAUGACAACCCUCUUGGCCUUCCAUGCUAAAACUAAGGUAUUUCUUUAUGCUACUGUCGAUUUCUUGCGGAAUUUUGUUUUUUUUAUUUGAUUUGGCAAAUGCUUCCCAUUCGUUAAGAUUGUUCCUGUCAAGUGGCAUUUCAGUUUGAAUAAUUUUUCAACCAAGAUAAAGCUGAUGUAAUGCCGAUCGGUGAACAAGCGAGAGUCACCUCUCGAGUUGCGGCAUUAAAUCAUGUGGUGAGUGAGAGUCACCUCUCGAGUGCAAAGAGAUCGUCUGUAUGAAUUUGUUUGUUUUCCGUUUAGUCUAUGUACUAAUCCCAUGGUGUUUACCAAGCUUCUGAAAUCAGUCGUAAACUAUCUGCGGUCACGGGGCUUUUUAUGAAUGUUAUAUUUGAAUGACUUUUUAUAUCUCGGUAAGUCAAUAGAAGAGUGCGGAGACAAUCUUAGAUAGACAAUUGCUUUGCUUAAUCGUUUAGGUUUUAUCGUAAAUCUUGAAAAGUCAAGGUUAUUACCUGAGAUUAAAUGUACAUAUCUAAGGUUUUUUACUAGAUUCAUCCAUCAUGAGAGUUGAGUUACCAGAAGAAAAGAAGUUCAGAUGAGUAAUUUUGAAAGGAGGCGAAUUUUUAAGAUUCAGAAUUUUGCUAAGUUGGUUGGUUCUUUGAUGGCAUGUUGUCCGGUUGUUGAAUGCAGUCUAUUACAUUGUAAAUUGUUUGAGAAGGCUAAGGGCCUUAAAUAAUAAUUGAGGGGCAUUUGAUGCGACGAUGACGAUGCCAAAUUUGGAUUGUGUCCAAAAAGAUUGGAAUUGGUGGAAGAAGGUCACACCGGUUGCUAGUAUCAGGGAAUACAAAUUCAUCAGGAUGAUAUUUUCGGAUGCUUCACUGUCAGGCCGAGGGAGCUUUCUAUGGUGGUGAAAAUGCCAAUGUACUUUGGGAUCAGGCAAAGAGAGAUCUCCUUAUCAAUUAUCUGGAACUGAAGACAGCGCUAUUGGCUUUGAAAUGUUUCGCGGUAGAGUUGCAUGAUAUAGAAAUUUUACUUAAAGUGGAUAACACCACCACCAUAGUUUAUAUUAAUAGAAUGGGUGGUGUGUGUUUUGCUGGUUUGCAUGAUUUAUCUUGUGACUUAGGGAAAUGGUGUGAAGAGCGGAGAUUAUGGGUGCACGCAUUUGCAUACCCUCGAAGGAGAACUGUGAGGCAGAUUUUUUUUCUAGAAUUGAUAAUGCAGACACUGAGUGGGAGUUAGCUGACUUUGCUUUUGACCAAAUUACCAGGAGAUUUAGUGCAAUGAAAAUUGAUCUGUUUGCAUCGCGUAUAAACUCUAAAUGUCAGUUGUACUGCUCAUGGAAAAGAGAUCCAGAGGCUUUUGAUAUUUUUUACAAUUGACUUGGCAGAGUGGUUUUUCUAUACCUUCCUUCCAUUUUCCUUGGUAGUCAGAGUAAUUAAGAAAAUCAAAGACAAAUAUGCAGAGGGUAUCUUAGUGGUUCCUUUUUGGCCAACGCAAAACUGAUUUUCUGCUUUUCAGAGAUUGUCUGUGGGCAACUGGAUCUGGUUUGAUCCAGAUGUUAACUUAUUUAUAUCUCCUUGCAGGUCUCAGCAACAUCCUUUGGCGUCCAGGCUGAUUAUCAGCCAAGCGCUCUUAAGAAGGGGAACUCCAAGGGAGGCAGUUAAUAUUUCAAUUGCGUCAUUAGACGCAACCAAUUCAAUGAUUAAACAGUAUAACUUAAGUUAUGGUGGCAAUGGUAUAAUCAGACAUCGGAGGAUUCAUUUACAGUGUCAGCCAGUAAAAUUCUCAAGUUCUUAGUCGAAAGAUUUAAUGAUGGGGUUGGCCACAGUGCACUUAAUGCUGCUAGGGCUGCUCUUUCAUUGAUAUCUAGUGAGGACAUUGCUAACAAUGUUCUAGUUAGUAGAUUUAUCAGAGCUAUGUUUAAAAUGCGACCUAGUCUAUCCAAAUACAAGUUGACUUAGAAUGUUGACCCCGUAUUUAGUUUCACUAUUCCCGUUAGAUACAUUGUCCUUGAGAAGGCUGCCUAAGAAGCUAAUAGUUCUUUUAGUGUUAAGUACUGCGCAUAGGACGCAGCUUCUUACCUUAAUAAAAAUAUCUAACAUAGAAAUUUUAGAGUUGAGAAUUAAAAUACGAAUUUCAGACAGGAUUAAGACGAGUCGAGAAGUACCACAGCCGGUUUUAAGAUUUCCCUUUUUCAAGGAGAGACCAGAGCUGUGCAUCGUCAGGAUUGUGAUUGAAGGUGACGAAAAUAUUGAGGGGGACGAUUGAUACCUUGUUCGUCUUUUUUCAAAAGCCACACGGUCCAGUGAAAAGCGAAACGAUAAGUUGCUGGAUAAAAGAAGUGUUAAUAUCUUUUGGAGUCGACAAGAAGUUUACGGUUCACUCUACGAGGGAUACGUCAACCUCCAGGCCGCAUGAGAGAGGCGUGAGCCUUCUUAGGAGAUUAAGAAGGUUGCUGGUUGGUCCCACAGAUCCCAAACAUUUGCAAUAGUUUACCUAUAGAGAUAAAUAACUUUGCGUCAUUUAUCUUCUAGAUAACUAGAUAAUACAUGAUACUCUCUCAACAAUUAAAAUUUAUUUUUUCUGUUUCACUUGUCAUUAAUAUAGUUAAGAAACAUUUAAAAAACAAAAAGAAAGAAAAAAGAGAUUUUUAUUUAAAAUGUUAGAUCUAAAAAGCUACUCUAAAUCUCGAAGUGCGAGAUAUAAAAGAUAAUUGCGAUCGAACUUCAAGCACCUUCGACGGGCUCGUUCAAUUAUCCUUCAAUUAUCCUUCGUGUCUCGCAGGAGAGAUAUUCCCUCCCUACUAUCAUACUAAAGUACCUAGUCUGACAGGUGAAACAUAAAAAAUAAGUCGGCUAUAAACAAGAUAAGUAUUAACUGCGAGGAGCCACUACAGGUGCCGGAAACCACGCGGUAAUCAAUUAUUUUUAAACUCUGAACUUGUGGUCUGAGGCAUGAAAGUAGUGAUACUAUCUUUGUAAUCUCUCGUGUUCGAGAUACUCGAAUAAUUGCGUUCAAACUUUGUUCGCCUUCGGCGAGCUCGUUUGAUCCUUCAAUUUUUUAUUCUUUUGUUAUUAUGAAUUACCGUCAUUACGUGUGUAUGAUGUACACAAUAUAUUGUUUCUUUUUUUUAUUACUGUUUUUAUUACUAUAUUAUUACAUUACAUAUUAUUAUUAUAGUAAUAGUAGUAAUAAUAGUAAUAAGAUGAAAUGAACUUCUACAGAGGAAAUCAUAACAAAACAGCGCUCAGAGAAAAAUCUCAUAGAUAAUAUGGAAACGAACUCGUGUUUUAAUAUUUAUUAAAAAUAAUGUAUAAUAUAUAUUUUCACUAAUUAUUAAUUUUGAAAGAAUAAUCGACAAAUCUAUCGAACAAAAUUAUAUUGCUACUAAAAAUUGAAAUUAUAUAUCUUAUCAAAUAUAGAUCACCGCGAAAUUCACGUCAGCCAUCAGUGGAGAAAAUAAAUAUAAAAGAUUGAAUAGUAAUAUUAACACAUUGCGUACGGGUCAUGAGAUAUUUCGUUUUCAUGUUUUUUUCGACUAAAACGAUGACUUAAGGAACCGGAGAUAAAUGUUUUUGUUACGUUACCAAGGUAAUGAAGCCUUGCGCGUUCUUAUGACAAAUGAUUAACAAAAUAACUGAAUGUUGACAUUCCAAAAAUGCAAAAAUAGUCAGUAUAGCCAGUAUCAUCAUUAGAUUUGUGCCGAUCGUCGUACAUACCGUACCUUAUAAAGUGUUUUAUUGUUGUAUAUUUUGGAAUUUUAAAGUUCGUGUUUUAAUUUGUAAAGAAAUAGCUUUUUAAAAAUCAUUUAUAUUUUCAAUUUGUUAAUGAAAAUUUAUAACAAAUGGAAACGUGAUAUUUUGUUGCAAAUUAGGAAAGAUAAAAAAGAAGUACAAAUGAUUUCGACAAUUCAUAAAUUUGAAAUGGUUGAAUAUACU